AGCGAACGCUGGCGGCAGGCUUAACACAUGCAAGUCGAGCGGGCCCUUCGGGGUCAGCGGCAGACGGGUGAGUAACGCGUGGGAACGUGCCCUUCGGUUCGGAAUAACUCAGGGAAACUUGAGCUAAUACCGGAUACGCCCUUAUGGGGAAUGGUUUACUGCCGAAGGAUCGGCCCGCGUCUGAUUAGCUAGUUGGUGAGGUUAUGGCUCACCAAGGCGACGAUCAGUAGCUGGUCUGGGAGGAUGAUCAGCCACACUGGGACUGAGACACGGCCCAGACUCCUACGGGAGGCAGCAGUGGGGAAUAUUGGACAAUGGGGGCAACCCUGAUCCAGCCAUGCCGCGUGAGUGAUGACGGCCUUAGGGUUGUAAAGCUCUUUUCUCCGGGACGAUAAUGACGGUACCGGAGGAAUAAGCCCCGGCUAACUUCGUG
This 433-nucleotide ribosomal RNA is filed under the name uncultured bacterium. RNAcentral's name for it is "partial 16S ribosomal RNA". It matches the Rfam family "Bacterial small subunit ribosomal RNA", at positions 29 to 507 of the family's 1533-position model. The record is from RNAcentral.